CGGUCUUCUGAAGGCUGAUUAACUGCUUAGAGCCUCAGUGACUGUGGAGAGGUUGGAAUGUGGCAAGUCCAGAGUCAAAUUAUCUUGGGCUAAUCUUUACCCUUCCAUAAUAGACAUUUGUUUUGCUCUUCUUUGGAAUGCAACAACAGACCCUAGCUCCCACCAGCCAGAAGUCUAUCAGGCUGGAGGAAAGUCACAGGGAUGUUGCUUGAGAGCAUCUGACACCCAGAAUUGAGUUUCCCCCUUUUUCUUCUAGCCGCCUACCUGAUGUGCCCACCAGUGACUUUUUGAAGUGCGUUGAUUUUCUCUGUUCAGUUACUAUAACAACUCCACCAGACUGUUACCAUGCCGGAACGUGGAAUUCAGAGUGAAUCCGUGUCCCCAGGCCAUGGCCACUUGCACUUGACUCCGGAAUAAGCUUCUCUUUGAGAUGAGAGCUGAGCUUUUACAUCAGUAGAAGAGAAUCAAUCUAGUCCAGGCCUUUGUGGAUCCCAAACCAAAUUCUUAGUUAGGCCUAUGCCACUUCCUGCCCAAAUGAAGAGUCUGGAAAGGUGCUCUGUGACCAUUGGCUCUUCUCCCAACUGUCUCUGAGGACUUCAUCAGCCAGGGAGCAGGUGGUGAGAACCCAGUAUGGUGCUGUUAUUACAGCAGAGAAUGCAGAAGGCAGGAGCCCAAGGGUCUCUCAUUGAGCCUGGAGUCCACUGAUUGGCUAGACCAACUGGCCAGAAACCCCUGGGGAUCCACCGGCCACCGCUUCCCCAGCAUGGGGGUUACAGGCUGUGCCAUCAUGGCCAGUGUUUCAGACAUGUGAUGGGAAUCUGAACUUAGAUCAUGCUUGCCUGGCAGCACACCAGUACUGAAGGCCACUCAGGCAGUACACGGGAUCUUGAAAAUUAGAAGUAAACUCUAGAUGUCUCCAUCGUGACUCGACAAGAGAAACAACAGCCCCCCUCUCAGCUCCACCUUUGCCAAUGCCAGCUAAGGUGCUCACGAACUCCUGGCUUCACAGAGGACAGAGGUCAAAAGCCAUCCUAGGAGGUACAAGAGAAUGACCCAGUCUCCUAGAGGAGAGAGUCUCAACUGGGCCACCUUCUGUUCAGGUGGCAUCUGGUUGGGAAAUACGUAUUAGAAACAUUUUUUUUUCUAAAAUAGCGAAAAAUGUGUCACACAGAGAGAAAUUGACAAGCACAGUUACACCGUGAGAUUCCUACACUUGGGUGCUCUGUAAUGUGUCCUCAAGUUUGCUUAACCAAUAAAAUGCAAAAUGGUA
This is a non-coding RNA of Rattus norvegicus (Norway rat), 1270 nucleotides long. Lineage: Eukaryota; Metazoa; Chordata; Mammalia; Rodentia; Muridae. The record is from RefSeq and is a predicted model, not a curated record.